RNAcentral lists this ribosomal RNA (2206 nucleotides) under Klebsiella pneumoniae. RNAcentral describes it as "bacterial LSU rRNA". It matches the Rfam family "Bacterial large subunit ribosomal RNA", at positions 1 to 2236 of the family's 2925-position model. Lineage: Bacteria; Pseudomonadati; Pseudomonadota; Gammaproteobacteria; Enterobacterales; Enterobacteriaceae. The record is from RNAcentral.
UUAAGCGACUAAGCGUACACGGUGGAUGCCCUGGCAGUCAGAGGCGAUGAAGGACGUGCUAAUCUGCGAAAAGCGUCGGUAAGGUGAUAUGAACCGUUAUAACCGGCGAUGUCCGAAUGGGGAAACCCAGUGCAAUUCGUUGCACUAUCGUUAACUGAAUACAUAGGUUAACGAGGCGAACCGGGGGAACUGAAACAUCUAAGUACCCCGAGGAAAAGAAAUCAACCGAGAUUCCCCCAGUAGCGGCGAGCGAACGGGGAGCAGCCCAGAGUCUGAAUCAGCUUGUGUGUUAGUGGAACGGUCUGGAAAGUCCGACGGUACAGGGUGAUAGUCCCGUACACCAAAAUGCACAGGUUGUGAACUCGAAGAGUAGGGCGGGACACGUGGUAUCCUGUCUGAAUAUGGGGGGACCAUCCUCCAAGGCUAAAUACUCCUGACUGACCGAUAGUGAACCAGUACCGUGAGGGAAAGGCGAAAAGAACCCCGGCGAGGGGAGUGAAAAAGAACCUGAAACCGUGUACGUACAAGCAGUGGGAGCACCUUCGGGUGUGACUGCGUACCUUUUGUAUAAUGGGUCAGCGACUUAUAUUCUGUAGCAAGGUUAACCGUAUAGGGGAGCCGCAGGGAAACCGAGUCUUAACUGGGCGUUAAGUUGCAGGGUAUAGACCCGAAACCCGGUGAUCUAGCCAUGGGCAGGUUGAAGGUUGGGUAACACUAACUGGAGGACCGAACCGACUAAUGUUGAAAAAUUAGCGGAUGACUUGUGGCUGGGGGUGAAAGGCCAAUCAAACCGGGAGAUAGCUGGUUCUCCCCGAAAGCUAUUUAGGUAGCGCCUCGUGAACUCAUCUUCGGGGGUAGAGCACUGUUUCGGCUAGGGGGUCAUCCCGACUUACCAACCCGAUGCAAACUACGAAUACCGAAGAAUGUUAUCACGGGAGACACACGGCGGGUGCUAACGUCCGUCGUGAAGAGGGAAACAACCCAGACCGCCAGCUAAGGUCCCAAAGUCAUGGUUAAGUGGGAAACGAUGUGGGAAGGCACAGACAGCCAGGAUGUUGGCUUAGAAGCAGCCAUCAUUUAAAGAAAGCGUAAUAGCUCACUGGUCGAGUCGGCCUGCGCGGAAGAUGUAACGGGGCUAAACCAUGCACCGAAGCUGCGGCAGCGACACUAUGUGUUGUUGGGUAGGGGAGCGUUCUGUAAGCCUGCGAAGGUGACCUGUGAGGGUUGCUGGAGGUAUCAGAAGUGCGAAUGCUGACAUAAGUAACGAUAAAGCGGGUGAAAAGCCCGCUCGCCGGAAGACCAAGGGUUCCUGUCCAACGUUAAUCGGGGCAGGGUGAGUCGACCCCUAAGGCGAGGCCGAAAGGCGUAGUCGAUGGGAAACAGGUUAAUAUUCCUGUACUUGGUGUUACUGCGAAGGGGGGACGGAGAAGGCUAUGUUAGCCGGGCGACGGUUGUCCCGGUUUAAGCAUGUAGGCUGGUUGUCCAGGCAAAUCCGGAUAAUCAAGGCUGAGGUGUGAUGACGAGGCACUACGGUGCUGAAGUAACAAAUGCCCUGCUUCCAGGAAAAGCCUCUAAGCAUCAGGUAACAUCAAAUCGUACCCCAAACCGACACAGGUGGUCAGGUAGAGAAUACCAAGGCGCUUGAGAGAACUCGGGUGAAGGAACUAGGCAAAAUGGUGCCGUAACUUCGGGAGAAGGCACGCUGGUGUGUAGGUGAAGUCCCUGCGGAUGGAGCUGAGACCAGUCGAAGAUACCAGCUGGCUGCAACUGUUUAUUAAAAACACAGCACUGUGCAAACACGAAAGUGGACGUAUACGGUGUGACGCCUGCCCGGUGCCGGAAGGUUAAUUGAUGGGGUUAUCCGUAAGGAGAAGCUCUUGAUCGAAGCCCCGGUAAACGGCGGCCGUAACUAUAACGGUCCUAAGGUAGCGAAAUUCCUUGUCGGGUAAGUUCCGACCUGCACGAAUGGCGUAAUGAUGGCCAGGCUGUCUCCACCCGAGACUCAGUGAAAUUGAACUCGCUGUGAAGAUGCAGUGUACCCGCGGCAAGACGGAAAGACCCCGUGAACCUUUACUAUAGCUUGACACUGAACAUUGAGCCUUGAUGUGUAGGAUAGGUGGGAGGCUUUGAAGCGUGGACGCCAGUCUGCGUGGAGCCAACCUUGAAAUACCACCCUUUAAUGUUUGAUGUUCUAACGUUGGCCCCU